UAACCUGCCCUUAACUCUGGGAUAAGCCUGGGAAACUGGGUCUAAUACCGGAUAUGACUCCUCAUCGCAUGGUGGGGGGUGGAAAGCUUUAUUGUGGUUUUGGAUGGACUCGCGGCCUAUCAGCUUGUUGGUGAGGUAAUGGCUCACCAAGGCGACGACGGGUAGCCGGCCUGAGAGGGUGACCGGCCACACUGGGACUGAGACACGGCCCAGACUCCUACGGGAGGCAGCAGUGGGGAAUAUUGCACAAUGGGCGAAAGCCUGAUGCAGCGACGCCGCGUGAGGGAUGACGGCCUUCGGGUUGUAAACCUCUUUCAGUAGGGAAGAAGCGAAAGUGACGGUACCUGCAGAAGAAGCGCCGGCUAACUACGUGCCAGCAGCCGCGGUAAUACGUAGGGCGCAAGCGUUAUCCGGAAUUAUUGGGCGUAAAGAGCUCGUAGGCGGUUUGUCGCGUCUGCCGUGAAAGUCCGGGGCUCAACUCCGGAUCUGCGGUGGGUACGGGCAGACUAGAGUGAUGUAGGGGAGACUGGAAUUCCUGGUGUAGCGGUGAAAUGCGCAGAUAUCAGGAGGAACACCGAUGGCGAAGGCAGGUCUCUGGGCAUUAACUGACGCUGAGGAGCGAAAGCAUGGGGAGCGAACAGGAUUAGAUACCCUGGUAGUCCAUGCCGUAAACGUUGGGCACUAGGUGUG
Molecule: ribosomal RNA, 690 nt
Filed under: Actinobacteridae bacterium 17-03PB
Lineage: Bacteria; Bacillati; Actinomycetota; Actinomycetes
Description: bacterial SSU rRNA
Rfam family: Bacterial small subunit ribosomal RNA
Source: RNAcentral